RNAcentral lists this ribosomal RNA (301 nucleotides) under uncultured bacterium. RNAcentral's name for it is "partial 16S ribosomal RNA". It matches the Rfam family "Bacterial small subunit ribosomal RNA", at positions 509 to 807 of the family's 1533-position model. The record is from RNAcentral.
CAGUAGCCGCGGUAAUACGUAGGGUCCGAGCGUUGUCCGGAAUUAUUGGGCGUAAAGAGCUCGUAGGCGGUCUGUCGCGUCUGCCGUGAAAUCCUCAGGCUCAACCUGAGGCGUGCGGUGGGUACGGGCAGGCUAGAGUGCGGUAGGGGAGAAUGGAACUCCUGGUGUAGCGGUGGAAUGCGCAGAUAUCAGGAAGAACACCGAUGGCGAAGGCAGUUCUCUGGGCCGUAACUGACGCUGAGGAGCGAAAGCGUGGGGAGCGAACAGGAUUAGAUACCCGAGUAGUCCCUGUCUCUUAUAC